RNAcentral lists this transfer RNA (67 nucleotides) under Marmota monax (woodchuck). RNAcentral describes it as "tRNA.Ala". Lineage: Eukaryota; Metazoa; Chordata; Mammalia; Rodentia; Sciuridae. The record is from RNAcentral.
GGUUGUAGCUCAGUGGUAGAGCACUUGCCUAGCAUGUGUGAGGCACUUGGUUCAAUUCUCAGCACCA